CCCUUAGAUGUUCGGAGCUGCACGCGCGCUACACUGAAGGAAGCAGCGUGUUAGAGUACCUGGCUUGGAAGAGCUGGGUAAUCCGGUGAAUGUCCUUCGUGAUUGGGAUAGGCACUUGUAAUUAUUUGCCUUGAACGAGGAAUACCUAGUAAGUGCGAGUCAUCAGCUUGCGCUGACUACGUCCCUGCCCUUUGUACACACCGCCCGUCGCUCCUACCGAUUUCGAGUGGUCCGGUGAACCUUUCGGACAGAGAGAGUCUCGUACAAUCUCUGAAAGUCAAGUAAACCACAUCACUUAGAGGAAGGAGAAGUCGUAACA
This 319-nucleotide ribosomal RNA is filed under the name uncultured eukaryote. RNAcentral's name for it is "partial 18S ribosomal RNA". It matches the Rfam family "Eukaryotic small subunit ribosomal RNA", at positions 1470 to 1796 of the family's 1831-position model. The record is from RNAcentral.